UCCUGAAGAAGGAAAGGUUUCCAUCCAAGC
This 30-nucleotide non-coding RNA is filed under the name Rattus norvegicus (Norway rat). Lineage: Eukaryota; Metazoa; Chordata; Mammalia; Rodentia; Muridae. The record is from RNAcentral.